Molecule: ribosomal RNA, 420 nt
Filed under: uncultured bacterium
Lineage: Bacteria
Description: bacterial SSU rRNA
Rfam family: Bacterial small subunit ribosomal RNA
Source: RNAcentral
AGAGUUUGAUCCUGGCUCAGAUUGAACGCUGGCGGCAGGCCUAACACAUGCAAGUCGAGCGGAUGAAGAGAGCUUGCUCUCUGAUUCAGCGGCGGACGGGUGAGUAAUGCCUAGGAAUCUGCCUGAUAGUGGGGGACAACGUUUCGAAAGGAACGCUAAUACCGCAUACGUCCUACGGGAGAAAGCAGGGGACCUUCGGGCCUUGCGCUAUCAGAUGAGCCUAGGUCGGAUUAGCUAGUUGGUGAGGUAACGGCUCACCAAGGCGACGAUCCGUAACUGGUCUGAGAGGAUGAUCAGUCACACUGGAACUGAGACACGGUCCAGACUCCUACGGGAGGCAGCAGUGGGGAAUAUUGGACAAUGGGCGAAAGCCUGAUCCAGCCAUGCCGCGUGUGUGAAGAAGGUCUUCGGAUUGUAAAG